GGAUCCAGACUUUGAUUCUGGCUCAGGAUGAACGCUAGCUACAGGCUUAACACAUGCAAGUCGAGGGGCAGCGAUGAAGAAAGCUUGCUUUCUUCAGGCGGCGACCGGCGCACGGGUGAGUAACGCGUAUCGAACCUGCCUCAUACUCAGGAAUAGCCUUGCGAAAGUAAGAUUAAUGCCCGAUGUUAUUAGGAUAUCACAUGAUGUUUUAAUUAAAGAUUUAUCGGUAUGAGAUGGCGAUGCGUCCCAUUAGCUUGUUGGCGGGGUAACGGCCCACCAAGGCAUCGAUGGGUAGGGGUUCUGAGAGGAAGGUCCCCCACAUUGGAACUGAGACACGGUCCAAACUCCUACGGGAGGCAGCAGUGAGGAAUAUUGGUCAAUGGACGCAAGUCUGAACCAGCCAAGUGGCGUGCAGGAAGACGGCCCUCUGGGUUGUAAACUGCUUUUAGUUGGGAAUAAAGUGCACCACGUGUGGUGUUUUGUAUGUACCAUCAGAAAAAGGACCGGCUAAUUCCGUGCCAGCAGCCGCGGUAAUACGGAAGGUCCAGGCGUUAUCCGGAUUUAUUGGGUUUAAAGGGAGCGCAGGCGGACCUUUAAGUCAGCUGUGAAAUACGGCGGCUCAACCGUCGAACUGCAGUUGAUACUGGAGGUCUUGAGUGCACACAGGGAUACUGGAAUUCAUGGCGUAGCGGUGAAAUGCUCAGAUAUCAUGAAGAACUCCGAUCGCGAAGGCAGGUAUCCGGGGUGCAACUGACGCUGAGGCUCGAAAGUGCGGGUAUCAAACAGGAUUAGAUACCCUGGUAGUCCGCACAGUAAACGAUGAAUACUCGCGAUUUGCGAUACACAGUAAGUCGCCAAGCGAAAGCGUUAAGUAUUCCACCUGGGGAGUACGCCGGCAACGGUGCAACUCAAAGGAAUUGACGG
This 924-nucleotide ribosomal RNA is filed under the name uncultured bacterium. RNAcentral's name for it is "bacterial SSU rRNA". It matches the Rfam family "Bacterial small subunit ribosomal RNA", at positions 1 to 916 of the family's 1533-position model. RNAcentral also lists the same sequence under 1 other name. The record is from RNAcentral.